Myodes glareolus (Bank vole) is the source of this 2003-nucleotide non-coding RNA. The record is from RefSeq and is a predicted model, not a curated record. NCBI's taxonomy places the organism in Eukaryota, Metazoa, Chordata, Mammalia, Rodentia, Cricetidae.
UGUCUGAGGCAAACAGUUCUCAGAAAAAGAGAGAGUUUCUUGAAUAUGAAUGUUUGGAUGGUUUUGACGCCCUCUAAGUCAGGGACAGACUGAAGCCCACACCCUGGAGGGCUCUGAAAGCCAAGUCUGGAUGGCCCUCCAGCUUCUGGGAUUCUUCCUCCCUUUGCUUCCCUUCUCACCACAUGGGCUCUGGAAUCACGACUGCUUGCCCCUGAGCCAUCUUCCCGGCCCUCUGGAUGCCUUUUCAUGAAGCAUGUCCAGUUCUGAACAAUGGAAUUGCUGUCUGGAACACUUAAAAGUUUCUUCAGGAACAAAUACAAAUGGCAAGAAUUCUCUGCUUUUCUUGAGCCCGCAUCCUGGAUAGAGGUGGGAGAGAUAAACACUGGAGGAUGUGGCAAAGCACUGUGGUGAUAUUGGAAAGAACAGGAAGUGCUCAGAAUCGGGAGGGAAGGCGACAUUUAAAUGAGUGAACACCAAGAAGUCUAGGAUGGGAGAGAAAAGAAUUAUGGCAGAAGAGGAAACUAGAAGGACACAGAGAUACUAAAGAGUUGCAACAGUAGGUGCAAGACCAUGGGACUUCCUGAUCCUAUAGAUCAUCUAGAACUUUCCAGCCUGAGGAAGUGUGCAAACAGCUAUUUAAAGGGGCAGCCAAGAUGUUAGCUCAGAGAUGACCUGCAAGAAUGGAACACCGUUCUCCAACUAUUAUAUACCUCAGAAGCCUAUUGUGUUGUGCUCCAAGGUAGUCUGUGAUAACAGAGCUCCAGGAAACAGGAAGUGGGAGCAGAAACAGACAUCAUGCUAAAAUUCCUGCUUGAUAAAUUGGAAAAUCCCAUCCCUGAAACUUUAGGUUUUGUGGUUUGGAGGUCAUAGUCUCCAGAACAAUACAGCUUCCACUGAGCAUCACAGAGAGACACUCAUUAAAAUUUAAAUCACUGCCACUCCAUUAUCUUAAGAGCCCCAUGCCCUGAGACCAGCAGACAAAGAAAAAGCCAUUGUCUUGGAUGGUAAGUUUACUACCAUGGAUAAACUGACCCAAAUCACCCAAACACUACAAUGAAAGAUGAGCAGAUAAUUUUAGAACCCAGCUGUCACACCAGUGUGUUUCUUUGCACUUCCCCUGCCCCGUUAUUCCAGUGGUAAUUGAGCAAACACAGAUGCCGCAGCCUGAAGAGAAUCUUGGAGUGAGGGGCUCAGACCCCUCCAGACUUGGGUCUGGCCAGUCUUCCAGAUAAGUUGCCUAUACCAGGACAGGAUUUAGCAAUGGAGGCAGGAACUUACAAAUGACGGUAAGAAAGACAUUGUUGAUGCCUCCUGGCCAGCUGCUGGGGAGAAGCAGUAGUUUUUCGGGUUACCUGCCCUUUGUGAAUUCAUCAAAGAAUUGAGCCCAAGCAGAAAUCCGGAAUGCCCUUCUCAGCUGAAUGAACACAGCAUGUUAGAUACAAGAGAUGCAAGGGAUGGGUGUCGAAAAUACUUUGCUGCCCAGGCCUGGUUCUCCUUGAGGCCAAAGGCAUUCAUUAAUUCUAUGAUUAUCAGAUAUGCUGGCUGUCAAAGGCCCACAGCUGGACUUCCUUGAGGAAAGACCCCUAUUGAAAGGAAAUUGCCUUGCCCAGGUUUUCCUCAUCUCUUCAAGACUAGCCAUCAUCCAAUGACUAGCCAGCGAUGUGGACAGGUAAGCACCUACUCCCUCUGAAUUAGUCCACGAUAGCUGAAGCCUCAGAGCCCUGCACGAACAGCUGGGACCUCGCUAGCAACAGGAUCUCGGCUUAGUGUCUCCUAUUCUCAGCUGUGCUUCACUGGCUCCUUUACUUGAUGUUGUUCAAGAACAUUCCCCAGUGAAUCUCCAGCAACACAAAUCUCCAUUUCUGAGUCUUUUCCCAGGCAGUGAGAAUGAAGACACCACACCUUGUCAAUCCUGGGAGAAGGUGAAGAGGUCAAAGCAAAGGCUUCCCCUUACACCCUUGAUUGUGUCUGAAGGUUUUUCUCCAAUAAAUCAUACCAUCCUA